Molecule: long non-coding RNA, 635 nt
Filed under: Homo sapiens (human)
Lineage: Eukaryota; Metazoa; Chordata; Mammalia; Primates; Hominidae
Description: HSALNT0034712
Source: RNAcentral
GUUCUGAAAAGCACCUUGUGGACUGAGCUAACUGCCUCUAGUGGAAAAGGCAGGAGAGAUGAAGCUAGGCUCUCAUUAUUUACUGCUGAUUAGCCCAGCAACUAGAAACACAAAGAGGAACAAGGUGAACUGGAUGCCAGCUACGAAAGAUAUAAGUACUGUAUAAAAGUCUCUUUACUGGAACAGACUCUUUUCUAGCCUUGGUGUUUCUAGAUUCUUGUCUACCAGAGUAAGCUCUAUCCAGUUUCUAAGGCCAGUACUGAAGUAUUUAAAUCCUCCCCAAUUUAAUUCUAAGGAUUUCAACAUUGCCACCUUCUACUCAUCAGCUACGUUUAACUUGAGACAAGAAUUAAGGUUGUUGCAGACCCAUACUGAUUCGUCGCUGGUGACUUGGAUACUCUCCACCACUUACUGUCAUGCGCGUCCAUGUGAAGAGACCACCAAACAAGCUUUGUGUGAGUAAUAAAGCUUUUUAAUCACCUGGGUGCAGGAAGGCUGAGUCCAAAAAGAGAGUCAGCGAAGGGAGUUAGGGGUUGGGCCGUUUUAUAGGAUUUGGGUAGGUAGUGGAAAUUUAUAGUCAAAGGGGGUUGUUCUCUGGCGGGCAGGGGCGGGGCUCACAAGGUGCUCAGUUGGGG